AGUGUGUGGGCAGUAAGAAAAGAGGUUUGAUUUUCCAAGAGAGAAAAUACCUAGAGGAUUAUUCAAAUAUGUUAUCCCCGCUACAAAGAAGAAGAUGAAAGGAGAGGACGGUUGAAAGUGAAAUGUGCUGGGGGUGCUGCUGAUAGCUGUGUUCCCUGUGGAAGAAACUGCUUUCCUGCAUGUCUCACUCUGGACACUGGAAUUUUGACUCCUCUCUCAUUUACUCACCACUGUAUCAGAUGGUUAGCUGACCACCAAAAACCUGUUGCCUCCUUCAGCUGAUGUGGGACCUUUCCCGGG
Molecule: non-coding RNA, 300 nt
Organism: Manis javanica (Malayan pangolin)
Lineage: Eukaryota; Metazoa; Chordata; Mammalia; Pholidota; Manidae
Source: RefSeq, a predicted model, not a curated record